Molecule: long non-coding RNA, 1614 nt
Organism: Homo sapiens (human)
Lineage: Eukaryota; Metazoa; Chordata; Mammalia; Primates; Hominidae
Product: long intergenic non-protein coding RNA 265
Source: Ensembl
GAAGGAAGACGAGGCGAGGCAAGCGCCAAGCUUCCAUCCGGACUUCAAGGCCAGUGGCUGGGUCUGGUUUUCUCAACACGGCCUCCUAGUCUCCUUCCCGCUUGGGCAUCUGUUUUUCUUAUAUAGACCCUGAAGCCGCCCGUGAUGUUCUGUAAGCAGGUUCCGCUUCAGAAUCAGAGGUACUUAAGAGGGAACCUGGAUGCUAGACCUGCCCUUGCUGCUGGCCUCAGUUUCUUUACCUGUAAAACAGGGAUUUUGGAACUGUUAAAUUAAAUCAAACUUAAAAGAAUUACAACUUAAAGCUGCUGGAACUUUACAUGAUCCCGAGCCUUGAGAGGAAUGUGGCUAUGCAGCCUGAGUCAUGUGGCAUGCAGAUGCAACCUCUGCCUUUUUCCGCUGUAAAUAAUUAAGAAGACCAAGUAGCAUCCAAGUCUCUUGUCCUUCUGCCUGCUGUUGUGGGAUGAUGUGUAGAGGAAGAUAGUCUUCCUCUACACAGCAAGAAGAUCCCUACCAGAUGCAGCCCUCUCAACCUUGGACUUCCUGACAUCCAGAACUAGUCACCUAAGCUGAAGAUUCCCUUGAGAACAAGUACUGUCCUGUGGUUUCAUGGCCUUUCUUCCAUUUGUGGUUCUUGCCAAGCGGAAUUUAAAUGACAUCUUAUCAAGAUGGAUAAACCCUAGUUUCCCAGUGCUGGAAUAUAGAAAAUGGAUGGACAAGUAAAUCCCACUCAGCACCCAUAGCCCAGGCAUGGGGACCUCAACACAUUUGAGCCGCAGAGAUCACCUUUCAUUGUGAAUAGCUCUGAGAUGAUACUUCUGGUUGAAUGUCUUUUUGUCACUUCCGGCUGGAUCUACCAUGAAAGAUUUCUGAAUCCAGGAAGAGAGAUUGACUGGGCAACAUGUUAUUCAGAAACAGGACCUUGCCCUGUCACUCAGGAUGGAGUUCAGUGGUCCAAUCAUGGCUCAUUGUAGCCUCAAACUCCCAGGCUCAAGCAAUCCUACCACGUCAGUCUUCCCAGUAGCUGACAGGGUCUCACUCUGUCGCCCAGGCUGGAGUGCAGUGGCAUGAUCUUGGCUCACUGUAGUGUAGACUUCCCAGCCUCAAGGGAUCCUCCCACCCCAGACUCCCAAGUAGCUGGAAUUACAGGUAUGCACCACCACCACACCUGGCUAAUAUUUUUCUUUUUUUUGGUAGACAUAUAGUCUCACUAUGUUGCGCUGACAGGAGUUCAAGACCAGUCUGGGCAAUAUAGUAAGACCUUGUCUCUACAAAAAAUGAAAAAAUUGGCCAGGCGUGGUGGCUCACGCCUGUAAUUCCAGCACUUUGGGAGGCCGAAGCGGGCAGAUUACCUGAGGUCAGGAGUUCGAGACCAGCCUGGCCAACAUUGCAAAACCCCGGCUCUACUAAAAAUACAAAAAUUAGCUGGGCGUGGUGGCACGCACCUGUAAUCCCAGCUACUUGGAAGGCUGAGGCAGGAGAAUCACUUGAAUCUGGGAGGUGGAGGUUGCAGUGAGCCGGGAUCGCACCAUUACACUACAGCCUGGGCAAGAAGAGUGAAACUCUGUCUCAAAAUAAAAUAAAAUAAAAUAAAAUAAAAUAAAAUAAAAUACAAAA